AACGAACGCUGGCGGCAGGCUUAACACAUGCAAGUCGAACGCUCGUAGCAAUACGGGAGUGGCGGACGGGUGAGUAACGCGUGGGAACGUGCCCUGAGGUACGGAAUAACUGCGGGAAACUGCAGCUAAUACCGUAUGAGCCCCGUGAGGGGGAAAGAUUUAUCGCCUUAGGAGCGGCCCGCGUCGGAUUAGCUAGUUGGUGGGGUAACGGCUUACCAAGGCUUCGAUCCGUAGCUGGUCUGAGAGGACGAUCAGCCACACUGGGACUGAGACACGGCCCAGACUCCUACGGGAGGCAGCAGUGGGGAAUCUUGCGCAAUGGGGGCAACCCUGACGCAGCCAUGCCGCGUGAAUGAUGAAGGCCUUAGGGUUGUAAAGUUCUUUUGCCCGUGACGAUGAUGACGGUAACGGGAUAAUAAGCUCCGGCUAACUUCGUG
Molecule: ribosomal RNA, 437 nt
Filed under: uncultured bacterium
Lineage: Bacteria
Description: bacterial SSU rRNA
Rfam family: Bacterial small subunit ribosomal RNA
Source: RNAcentral